GUGGGGAAUUUUGGACAAUGGGCGCAAGCCUGAUCCAGCAAUGCCGCGUGCAGGAAGAAGGCCUUCGGGUUGUAAACUGCUUUUGUACGGAACGAAACGGUCCUGGUUAAUACCUGGGGCUAAUGACGGUACCGUAAGAAUAAGCACCGGCUAACUACGUGCCAGCAGCCGCGGUAAUACGUAGGGUGCAAGCGUUAAUCGGAAUUACUGGGCAUAAAGCGUGCGCAGGCGGUUUUGGAAGACAGGCGUGAAAUCCCCGGGCUCAACCUGGGAAUUGCGCUUGUGACUGCAAGGCUGGAGUGCGGCAGAGGGGGAUGGAAUUCCGCGUGUAGCAGUGAAAUGCGUAGAUAUGCGGAGGAACACCGAUGGCGAAGGCAAUCCCCUGGGCCUGCACUGACGCUCAUGCACGAAAGCGUGGGGAGCAAACAGGAUUAGAAACCCCAGUAGUCC
RNAcentral lists this ribosomal RNA (450 nucleotides) under uncultured bacterium. RNAcentral describes it as "partial 16S ribosomal RNA". It matches the Rfam family "Bacterial small subunit ribosomal RNA", at positions 354 to 796 of the family's 1533-position model. The record is from RNAcentral.